This 301-nucleotide ribosomal RNA is filed under the name Klebsiella pneumoniae. RNAcentral's name for it is "bacterial LSU rRNA". It matches the Rfam family "Bacterial large subunit ribosomal RNA", at positions 2202 to 2502 of the family's 2925-position model. The record is from RNAcentral. Lineage: Bacteria; Pseudomonadati; Pseudomonadota; Gammaproteobacteria; Enterobacterales; Enterobacteriaceae.
ACCCUUUAAUGUUUGAUGUUCUAACGUUGGCCCCUGACCGGGGUUGCGGACAGUGUCUGGUGGGUAGUUUGACUGGGGCGGUCUCCUCCCAAAGCGUAACGGAGGAGCACGAAGGUUAGCUAAUCCUGGUCGGACAUCAGGAGGUUAGUGGAAUGGCAUAAGCUAGCUUGACUGCGAGCGUGACGGCGCGAGCAGGUGCGAAAGCAGGUCAUAGUGAUCCGGUGGUUCUGAAUGGAAGGGCCAUCGCUCAACGGAUAAAAGGUACUCCGGGGAUAACAGGCUGAUACCGCCCAAGAGUUCA